RNA transcript from Populus nigra (black poplar), 1089 nucleotides. RefSeq lists it as uncharacterized. NCBI's taxonomy places the organism in Eukaryota, Viridiplantae, Streptophyta, Magnoliopsida, Malpighiales, Salicaceae. The transcript has 3 exons. The record is from RefSeq and is a predicted model, not a curated record.
AUAUCACAGUCUUUUCCAUGUGUUGUUCUCAGAAGCUACAAUUUGUAGCUAUUCAAAAGCUACAAUCAUAGCUAAAAGCCACAGUUUUCACAAACGGACACUGAUGGUGUGAUGGCAUGAACUCCUCCUCUACUUGAUAUGGUGUGCGCCAUUGUUUCCACGUUUAAUUUAUAUUGCCCCCCUUUCCCUUUAGAAUGAUAAUAAGUUAAAAUGAAAUGGCCUCUUGCAUUGGACUCUCUCUUCAAAUCAAAAUGGUGUGAUGGAAAAAAUCCUAUAUUUAUUUAUUUAUUAUUUUGUCUUCUCACUCACAAGAUUUAGCAUUUCAAAAUGUAUACACACCCUUCCAUGCAUGCUGUUCUUCCCCUGCCACGUAAAUCCUAUCACGUUAAGAAUUGCAAUUGUCCACUUCUCAUCUCAUGCCUCGCACUCAUCUAUUUGCCUCUCUAUCUGACCAUUGGUAAGAGGAAAGGCUCAAAACCUAAGAAAAUUGCUGUCCACAAGCAUUUUAGUAGUGCAGAUUACAUUGAUGAAGAUGAUGAUGAAUUAAUGCUGGUAUAUUUUGAAGAGCAAUUGCCCUGUCACUGCAAGAUUCUGCAAAUGAUGUGACUUCUAAAGAAAUAAAGGGAGAUGCUCAUGUUCAAGGAGACGCAGGAAGGAGGAGGAAGAAAAGAGGAGAAAAUAAAAGGUUCUUUGGAGGGAACAACACAGAAAGCUGCCUUUUUGUUCACCUUUUCUUCUCCUCCAUGCAUGUUUAGCAGUCUCACCUUGUUGGUCAGAAUUGAGAAUACUGUGUGUUUUAAAAAGCCAACGCAGUUAGUAGUGCCCAAAUAAAUGGAGAUUCCCCGUUUUUUUCUUUUCCUUUUUCUUGAAUAUAGAUGAAUAAAGAUGUCUGCAACUAGCCUUUGCUUGGUUUAUGUAGCACUUUAGAAAUUAGUAAGUUUGGCAUGCGAAGUCCAUGCUGAUGAAAGAGCAAUCAUCAUUGUAAACUUGGGCCACCAAUGAUCAGCAAUGCUUGAUUGGCAUGGAUUAAAGAACAGCACUUUUGCUGAUUACAUAUAUGACAAGAGGAGAGAAAAAGAGAUUUCAGUA